This 429-nucleotide ribosomal RNA is filed under the name Acidobacteriota bacterium. RNAcentral's name for it is "Acidobacteria bacterium partial 16S ribosomal RNA". It matches the Rfam family "Bacterial small subunit ribosomal RNA", at positions 355 to 776 of the family's 1533-position model. The record is from RNAcentral. Lineage: Bacteria; Pseudomonadati; Acidobacteriota.
UGGGGAAUUUUGGACAAUGGGGGAAACCCUGAUCCAGCCAUCCCGCGUGUGCGAUGAAGGCCUUCGGGUUGUAAAGCACUUUUGGCAGGAAAGAAACGUCAUGGGUUAAUACCCCGUGAAACUGACGGUACCUGCAGAAUAAGCACCGGCUAACUACGUGCCAGCAGCCGCGGUAAUACGUAGGGUGCAAGCGUUAAUCGGAAUUACUGGGCGUAAAGCGUGCGCAGGCGGUUCGGAAAGAAAGAUGUGAAAUCCCAGAGCUCAACUUUGGAACUGCAUUUUUAACUACCGGGCUAGAGUGUGUCAGAGGGAGGUGGAAUUCCGCGUGUAGCAGUGAAAUGCGUAGAUAUGCGGAGGAACACCGAUGGCGAAGGCAGGCUCCUGGGAUAACACUGACGCUCAUGCACGAAAGCGUGGGGAGCAAACAGG